UACCCAAACUCCCAACAGUGGAGUCCCUGCUGUUUACCGGGAAGGAGAGGGAGAGGGGCAAGGCAGCAGGGGUGUUGGUGCUGUAGCUGCCAGUGAGUCAGCACCGCACCAGCCUCUGCACUGCCUUGCCCCUCUCACUCUCUUUCCCUGUAGGCAGCAGAAACUCCAUUGACCGGAGGUCAGGU
This 185-nucleotide microRNA precursor is filed under the name Podarcis lilfordi (Lilford's wall lizard). Lineage: Eukaryota; Metazoa; Chordata; Lepidosauria; Squamata; Lacertidae. The record is from RNAcentral.